This 328-nucleotide unclassified non-coding RNA is filed under the name soil metagenome. RNAcentral describes it as "partial contains 5.8S ribosomal RNA, internal transcribed spacer 2, and large subunit ribosomal RNA". The stretch from base 1 to 120 matches the Rfam family "5.8S ribosomal RNA", at positions 35 to 154 of the family's 154-position model. The record is from RNAcentral.
GAUGAAGAACGCAGCGAAAUGCGAUAAGUAAUGUGAAUUGCAGAAUUCAGUGAAUCAUCGAAUCUUUGAACGCACAUUGCGCCCCUUGGUAUUCCGAGGGGCAUGCCUGUUCGAGCGUCAUUAUAACCCCUCAAGCUCGGCUUGGUGUUGGGGCCUGCCGCACGGGCAGCCCUUAAAAUCAGUGGCGGUGCCAUCUGGCUCUAAGCGUAGUAAUUCUUCUCGCUAUAGGGUUCCGGAGGGAUGCUGGCCAACAACCCCCAACUUUUAAGGUUGACCUCGGAUCAGGUAGGGAUACCCGCUGAACUUAAGCAUAUCAAUAAGCGGAGGA